CCUACGGGAGGCAGCAGUGGGGAAUCUUGCGCAAUGGGCGAAAGCCUGACGCAGCAACGCCGCGUGCGGGAUGAAGGCCUUCGGGCUGUAAACCGCUUUCAGCAGGAACGAAAAUGACGGUACCUGCAGAAGAAGGAGCGGCCAACUAUGUGCCAGCAGCCGCGGUGAUACAUAGGCUUCAAGCGUUGUCCGGAUUUAUUGGGCGUAAAGAGUUCGUAGGCGGUCGAGUAAGUCGGGUGUGAAAAUUCUGGGCUCAACCCAGAGACGCCACCCGAUACUGCUUAACUUGAGUUCGAUAGGGGAGUGGGGAAUUCCUAGUGUAGCGGUGAAAUGCGCAGAUAUUAGGAGGAACACCGGUGGCGAAGGCGCCACUCUGGAUCGACACUGACGCUGAGGAACGAAAGCAUGGGUAGCAAACAGGAUUAGAUACCCUGGUAGUCCAUGCGGUAAACGGUGGGCACUAGGUGUGGGUUUCUAUUAACGAAAUCCGCGCCGUCGCUAACGCAUUAAGUGCCCCGCCUGGGGAGUACGGUCGCAAGACUAAAACUCAAAGGAAUUGACGG
RNAcentral lists this ribosomal RNA (563 nucleotides) under uncultured Actinomycetes bacterium. RNAcentral describes it as "bacterial SSU rRNA". It matches the Rfam family "Bacterial small subunit ribosomal RNA", at positions 338 to 916 of the family's 1533-position model. The record is from RNAcentral. Lineage: Bacteria; Bacillati; Actinomycetota; Actinomycetes.